RNAcentral lists this ribosomal RNA (690 nucleotides) under uncultured bacterium. RNAcentral describes it as "bacterial SSU rRNA". It matches the Rfam family "Bacterial small subunit ribosomal RNA", at positions 62 to 744 of the family's 1533-position model. The record is from RNAcentral.
UCGAGGGGCAGCACAGGGUAGCAAUACUUGGGUGGCGACCGGCGCACGGGUGAGUAACGCGUAUGCAACUUACCUAUCAGAGGGGGAUAGCCCGGCGAAAGUCGGAUUAAUACCCCAUAAAACAGGGGUCCCGCAUGGGAAUAUUUGUUAAAGAUUCAUCGCUGAUAGAUAGGCAUGCGUUCCAUUAGGCAGUUGGCGGGGUAACGGCCCACCAAACCGACGAUGGAUAGGGGUUCUGAGAGGAAGGUCCCCCACAUUGGUACUGAGACACGGACCAAACUCCUACGGGAGGCAGCAGUGAGGAAUAUUGGUCAAUGGCCGAGAGGCUGAACCAGCCAAGUCGCGUGAAGGAAGAAGGAUCUAUGGUUUGUAAACUUCUUUUAUAGGGGAAUAAAGUGGAGGACGUGUCCUUUUUUGUAUGUACCCUAUGAAUAAGCAUCGGCUAACUCCGUGCCAGCAGCCGCGGUAAUACGGAGGAUGCGAGCGUUAUCCGGAUUUAUUGGGUUUAAAGGGUGCGUAGGUGGUGAUUUAAGUCAGCGGUGAAAGUUUGUGGCUCAACCAUAAAAUUGCCGUUGAAACUGGGUUACUUGAGUGUGUUUGAGGUAGGCGGAAUGCGUGGUGUAGCGGUGAAAUGCAUAGAUAUCACGCAGAACUCCGAUUGCGAAGGCAGCUUACUAAACCAUAACUGAC